Molecule: ribosomal RNA, 673 nt
Filed under: uncultured Vibrionaceae bacterium
Lineage: Bacteria; Pseudomonadati; Pseudomonadota; Gammaproteobacteria; Vibrionales; Vibrionaceae
Description: bacterial SSU rRNA
Rfam family: Bacterial small subunit ribosomal RNA
Source: RNAcentral
UAGAGUUUGAUCAUGGCUCAGAUUGAACGCUGGCGGCAGGCCUAACACAUGCAAGUCGAGCGGAAACGAGAAUAGCUUGCUAUUCGGCGUCGAGCGGCGGACGGGUGAGUAAUGCCUGGGAAAUUGCCCUGAUGUGGGGGAUAACCAUUGGAAACGAUGGCUAAUACCGCAUAAUAGCUUCGGCUUAAAGAGGGGGACCUUCGGGCCUCUCGCUUCAGGAUAUGCCCAGGUGGGAUUAGCUAGUUGGUGAGGUAAAGGCUCACCAAGGCGACGAUCCCUAGCUGGUCUGAGAGGAUGAUCAGCCACACUGGAACUGAGACACGGUCCAGACUCCUACGGGAGGCAGCAGUGGGGAAUAUUGCACAAUGGGCGCAAGCCUGAUGCAGCCAUGCCGCGUGUAUGAAGAAGGCCUUCGGGUUGUAAUGUACUUUCAGCAGUGAGGAAGGGUGUGUAGUUAAUAGCUGCAUACUUUGACGUUAGCUGCAGAAGAAGCUCCGGCUAACUCCGUGCCAGCAGCCGCGGUAAUACGGAGGGUGCGAGCGUUAAUCGGAAUUACUGGGCGUAAAGCGCAUGCAGGUGGUUUGUUAAGUCAGAUGUGAAAGCCCGGGGCUCAACCUCGGAACCGCAUUUGAAACUGGCAGGCUAGAGUACUGUAGAGGGGGGUAGAAUUUCA